RNAcentral lists this long non-coding RNA (243 nucleotides) under Pollicipes pollicipes. RNAcentral describes it as "uncharacterized LOC119114398, transcript variant X2". The record is from RNAcentral. Lineage: Eukaryota; Metazoa; Arthropoda; Thecostraca; Pollicipedomorpha; Pollicipedidae.
UCUGUAGCCAAACAGGGCAGUAGAACACUGCGGCGAGGCCCAUCAUGAACUGCAGUACGAGGAGCAUCCUGAAAUUAAGCUACAACCUGGGCAGGGCCAGUCACAUACUUCCCAGGAAUGGGCUGCGAAGACAGUCAACAGCGCCAUCUGCUGCAGAGGAUGAGAAAAAGCUGCAGUUUCUGAGUGUGAUGCGGGAAGUGCCUGCUCCAGUGGUGGUGGUGACGGCGGCCGCCCCGGGCCCGG